CAGCAGCCGCGGUAAUACGUAGGUGGCAAGCGUUGUCCGGAAUUAUUGGGCGUAAAGCGCGCGCAGGCGGUUYYUUAAGUCUGAUGUGAAAGCCCACGGCUCAACCGUGGAGGGUCAUUGGAAACUGGGGRACUUGAGUGCAGAAGAGAAGAGUGGAAUUCCACGUGUAGCGGUGAAAUGCGUAGAGAUGUGGAGGAACACCAGUGGCGAAGGCGACUCUUUGGUCUGUAACUGACGCUGAGGCGCGAAAGCGUGGGGAGCAAACAGGAUUAGAUACCCUGGUAGUCCACGCCGUAAACGAUGAGUGCUAAGUGUURGAGGGUUUCCGCCCUUUAGUGCUGCAGCAAACGCAUUAAGCACUCCGCCUGGGGAGUACGGCCGCAAGGCUGAAACUCAAAGGAAUUGAC
Molecule: ribosomal RNA, 407 nt
Filed under: uncultured Bacillus sp.
Lineage: Bacteria; Bacillati; Bacillota; Bacilli; Caryophanales; Bacillaceae
Description: bacterial SSU rRNA
Rfam family: Bacterial small subunit ribosomal RNA
Source: RNAcentral